CAAGUCUGUACGAACAUUUUUAUGAUUUCUUAUUCUACUAUUCUACUUUAGUUUUCCAUAUUUAUCUCUUUAAACAAUUUAAUAUUAGUUUUAGGAAUUCUGAGUCUGAUAAUUUUAAUGACUGACAUCUUUGUUGAUCUCAUUGGGAUUCUUUCAAUUAAGGUGUUUUGUUUCUUUAUUGCAUACACAAUUCCUAUCCUAUGAACUGAUGAUUUUGACAUCUUGGUUAAGGAUGUGAAUUUCUUCAGAGGAGACUAUGUUUUCUUCUGCCAUGUGCCUCGGGUCACGAUCAGCUUAGUACUUCUCUAAAAUAAAUUUUCUUUUUAAAUUAUUUCAGUUUAGGCCGGCGCCAUGGCUCACUUGGCUAAUCCUCCGCCUGCGGUGCCGGCACCCUGGGUUUUAGUCCCGGUUGGGGUGCCAGUACUAGUCCCGGUUGCUCCUCUUCCAGUCCAGCUCUCUGCUAUGGCCCAGGAGGGCAGUGGAGGAUGACCCAAGUGCUUGGGCCUUACACCCGCAUUGGAGACCAGGAGGAAGCACCUGGCUCCUGCCUUCGGAUCGGCGCAGCGCGUAGCGGCUAUUAGGGGAGUGAACCAAGUAAAGGAAGACCUUUCAUUUGUCUCUCUCUCUCACUCACUAACUAUAACUUUACCUGUCAAAUAAAAAAAAAAUUAUUUUAGUUUAAGUAACAAACAUAAAUUCAGAUAGUGAACACUGAUAAAGACUAAAUAGACUUUUUGAGACCUACUUUCGUUCUUCUUACUCUUCAUCCUUCUUGUUUUUCUUUUUUUACCUCAAGAUAUGGAAAGAGCGGUGGAGAUCCCCAGUAGGAAUUCGUGUCUGCAUGUCGAAUUAGUUACCCCAUAUUGGUUACACUCUGGGUUUUCUCUUGUUUAUGCUCCAUGGGACUUUGAAAACCAAAUUCAGAGUUACUGAGUGUUGAAAACUGACCUGAACUCAAAAGCUAGCUUUGGUAGCACUGCUCUCUAUCUCUGUCUGGUCUCAUUUUGAAUUUGGCAAUGAAGAUGCAGACUCUAGCAACUAAUGUCUGGAUGUUUUCUUUAGCAAGCUCAUCUGGAAUGGAUGGAGAAGGCAGUUCACCGUGCUUCCAAAAGGAAAAUGGGAAUGGCAAGAAAUUCAUGAUGAAUGUAAUUAAAAAAAAAAAAAAAAACUAGGAGGUUUAAAAUAUAGAAACCCACUUUAUUUGGAAUUUUAGAAGAUUUUAAAAGUGGAAAAUUUUGUAUUACUUGGGGAAAGAUUAACAAACUAAAUCCAUAUAGUUUGUGCUGGAAAAAGCAGUGGUUUUGUGCAACUAAAAAGAAAAUGUCAAUUGAGAUCCAGGGAUGAUUGCUAAUAUAAAAUCAGCAGAGUUGCUAUUGCUUUUCUGUUGUCAUUGCUGCUGCUGCUGUUAUUGUUAUUUAACUACAGAAAAAUGCAGGACCAGGCGCGAAACUUGAAACAUUAUCAAUUAAAUUUUCUCAUUAGCUAUAUUUGGUUCCUUAAUUGGCCUUUUUGACUGUGUAAUUUCAAGUGAUAAUUAUUUGUGGCACUAGCCCAUUCCUAUAUCAGUGUUAUCUCUUAAUUAAUUCAAGAAAUUGACUUAACAUUUUUUUCCAUCUUCAGACAGAGAAGCAAUUUGUGAGUUACCAUUCUUAGACAGCACAGUCAGCAGCACUUUGAAAAAUGACAGCAAGAAAGUCCAAUCUCACUGACUUAAGCCACAAUAGCAUUGAUGAUAAUCUUGGAGAGCCUUGCUAAGGAAGAAUUGUACACAUUUGCUGUGAAACAGAACAACAUGGAAUUAUAGACUAGAGGAUGAGAGAAACAUGACAAAAAUAGAGAAGAUAUUAAUUCAUUUUCAGGAGAAGCUUCGCCCAUCUCAAGCAAUACAGAAUUGUACUUGGCUAAAGCAUUGUGUUUUCGCUGAAUAUUUUGGUUUCAGCAGAAAGCUAGCAGUGAUUGCUUUGCAACCUGGUGUUUUCCACCGAGUGGCUGUAAGCAGCAUAAGGAGGAAGCAAUGUUUCAGUGCCAAUAAUUUUCCUAACUUGAAGACGAAUUUCUCCUCCUCAAAGAAAAAGGGAAACUAUUAAGGAGAAAAAAAAUAUGGUCAUCCAGGAAAGAACUCAGAAGUUGCAAUUCAGUCGCCAUAACUUUCAGCUUUAUCUCAGAAGCUACUUCCUUUACUAAAAGGACCACAAGGACCCCCUCCCCCAAUCUUUCCCAAUUCAUGACUCAGAGUUCUGUUCUUUUUUUUUUUUCUUUAUAUAAAGGGAACAAAUGUCAUGUAUUUCAUAUAUACACUUUCAAGGGCAUAAUGCUACUUCCCACCACCCCCAUCAUCCUUCCCACCCUCCCACAUCCUCCUAUUUUUCUUUUAAUUUUUACAAUGACAUAUUUUCAAUUUACUUUAUAAUCACAAGCUUAACCCUCCAUUAAAUAAAGAAUCCAUCAAACAGUAAGUAGAGCAAACUUUGCUCCUCAAAUUUAUAGACAAGGGUUAUAAACAAUAAUCAAAUCUCAAUCUUCCUCAACAAAAUGAAUGCAACUGGAGACCAUUCUGUUUAGUGAAAUAAGCCAGUCCUCAGAAGAUAAAUAUAUGUUUUUCUCUAUUUGUGUUAACUAAUAUACAGAACACAAAAAGAUGUAAUAUAUAUGAGCAAAAUUGACACUUUUCUUUUUUUAAAAAAAUAUUUAUUUUUAUUUAUUUGAAAGCAGAGAUGCAGAGAGAGAAAGAGAGAAAGAUCUCCCAUCUGCUGGGUUACUCCCCAAAUGGAUGGAAUGAUUAAAGCUGGACCAGACCAAAGCCAGGAGCCAGGUGUUCCAUACAGGUCUCCCAUGUGGGUGGCAGAGGCCCAGCAUCUUUUGCUGCUUUUCUAGGCUCACUAGCAGGGGCCGGAUGGGAAAUGGAGCAGCCAGGACUCGAACUGGCACCCAUAUGAGAUGGUGACACUGCAGAUGGCAGCUUAACCUUCUAGGCCACAGGCGCUGGUACCAACACUUCUCUUGUAUCCACUCUUUGAGUUCCUUUAUGGGCCACCCAGUACCAUUAGGGACACAACUGUUUAUGCAGAUGCUAAAUUUGCUGUAGUGAAGGAUGUACCUAUGAAUUUCUCAAAGAAGUAUUGUGGGGAGUUGUGCUUCAGACCUACUUAUUCUGGUCAAAGAAGUCCUGGUUGCUGCAGACUAUCCAGAAAAAGAUGUCCUCUGGGCAUACGGGGAAUCAAGAAUACCCCCUAUCCCCUCUGCUGUCUGCUCAACCUAGAUCAUGGAAUAAUAAAUAAGAAAAAGUUCAUACAUAAUACUAAUGAAAUCAGAAAAGACCCCCUAAAAUUUACCCUGAAAUGUGGCCCCUUAAAGUUCCAUAGAAAUGCUAAACGGGUUGCCACAUGCGCUACCGGAAUUUGGGGUGCCUUAAGAUUUCACCAUGGACUUAUUACUAAAUCCCCAAUAUUAAUAAGCCCGAGAGGGUUCUUGCCUAAUAUUUAGAGAAGAAUUCUAAAUACCGGCACAGAUAAACAAGGCAGCAUGGUACAUUUUAAGCUUUUAUUUAGUAAGAAAGAUGCAUAAGAGAGUGAGAGCUUUAUUUAGGGGAGAGAAGUGAAUAGGGGUUCAUACCAAGCACCAGGAACCAGCCAUGUGGAAGAGCAUCUAGGCCAGGAAGCCUAGAGCACAUGGCCCGAAGGCAGGGGCUACAGCAAGACCUGUCCUGGCAAGAGGCCAGGGAAGAAGAACUGGGCCUGGGCACACUGUGCCCUAGGCUUUUAACCCACUCCAAAAGGGAGUGGUUAAUUAACCUGAUUGGCUGGUGGGCACCCAGGUGUGGCCAGGUAGGGGAAUGAGGCCACACAGGGACGUGGUCUUCCAGUUCACAAAUCUGACCUAUUUUAACCUGUAUGCCUGCCUACUUCACUAACAUCAUGCAUAAGAUAUAUUUUAGACACAUUUCAUAAAAUCAUGAGUAGAAUAAAAAUUAAGACUGAAUGGGAAUAAAGUUUCAGUAUAGUAAGGAAAAAUUAUGUGUACUUACUGGAAAACAAAGACUGAACUUAACCAUUAUUAACACAAGAAGCAAUUUGAUAUGAAGAACAAUACAACACAAUCAAUGGAAAUAUUAUUAAUUAAAAUAUAGAGCUUAGAAAGUAGAUGUUGGCAAAAUAAGAAUAGAGUAAAUUCAUUUUAGCCACUCAGUUUUAAUUCCCAUAAAUACAUUUUCACACAAAACUUGAAGGACCAAUAUGAAGACUAUUUGCCUACAUGAAAAUGUUGUUUUUUGGUUCUAAGAUUGAAUAUUGUCAUUAUAUAAAUUAGAUUUCCCACAUAUAAAUUUAUAAAUUGUACUCAAUUUUAAUCCAAGAAAUUUUCUUGUUCUUGAACCUGAAUACAAUUCUAAUGUUUAGCCUGAAUUACACAGUUUAUAACAGCCAAACAAAUUUUGAAAAAAUACUAGUAAAUGUUUUAAAAUUCUAUAUAAAAUGUAUCUUUUCAAAGAUUUAGCUCAGUAGAACAAAAUGACGCAAGAAUAGAUAAACUAAUACAGAGAAAAUAAAUAAAAACCAUUACAUACAUAUGUACUUUACACACUUAUAGGAAUACUAAUCAGACUGGUCUAAUGUUUGCCUCAGCUUGACCGGAGACAGGCAUUUUUCCGACUCUAGGCCCUUGACCUCCCUUUUCUUAGAGUGAUUUGUAAAUUCUUUCUCUGCCCUUUUGAGAUGUAAAUCUUUUUAAAAACCUCCUGUAGGAUUUACACCCAGAACUCUCCCAAGGACCCAGCUUUGAAAUAUAAUCCCAACAAUAAAAUGUCCUUAACCUCCAGUCUCUGUGGAGGGUGAGAGUUGAACUUCCCUGGGUACCUUGUUCAAAUUGUAAAACUACCUGCUAUUAGGUAGAUAAGGGAAAGUGUGCUUUUCCUUUGUGUAAAGCCAAUUAGCAUGCACACACAGACACACAUACACACACAUGGCCUAAGGCAUAGCAAAGGAGCAUGAAGGGCCUAACCUGACCUUUGUUUCAGCAUAGUUGAGAUCAGACUGAAUCCUCUCCUUUGUUUCUCUUCCUUACUAUAGCAGCUGUGAAUGAAAUCUUUCCUGCCUUUUUAACUAUAUGGUCCAAUUUGCUUUGAUAAUAUCAUAUUACUUUCUACAAAACACCCGCACAUUUUUACAUAAAUUAUUAAACUCACUUCAUUUGAUCUUACCUUGAUUUUUCAAAUUAGAAAAUAGUUAUUGCUAGUUAACAUUAUUUCUUCUUCGUUUCUGUAUCAUUAAUCUUCCUCUUGCAUCCUGUAAAGGUUCUCUAAACCCUGCUGGGGUUGAUAAUUGCAAAGGCUAAGUAAAAUCUUAUUUGCAAAAUUUUGCAAGUGAAAAACUAGUGCCAAGCUAUCUCUUUUUUUUUUUUUUAAAGAGUUUCUCAUCCUCUUCCUUGUUUUUCUUUAAUAAAGUCUACACUAUGUUAGGACUUUCAGAGGUUUAAUUUUGCUCUCUGACUUGGAUGUGAUGUAAAGUGGUAUGAAAUUAGUUGGCCAACAUCUUGAAAGAUUAGUCUGACCACGUUAUGCACAUAAUUAGAACUAAUUGAAUUAGUCCCACUCCUAGCAAAGAAGUAAAAUCAAUAUUAUAAUUAAAACUGCAUUUCUGUAUAAUUGGAUUUUCAAAUGAAACCUGGAAAAGGGGGAGGAAUGGAGAGUGUUGCUUAUGUGUAGAAAUAAUUAAUAUUUGUACUAAGUUUAUAUCUUUAAAAUAAUCCUGUAGGGAUUUGUGACAAUAUCCUGAAUUUCAUUAGCCUGAGUUGAUUGCAGGGGCUCCUCACUCUAAUCCUUAAAGAAGCCAUUCUUACAGACAGAGCUGCCUGGCCAACUGACUCCCUUCUUACCAUCUCGAACAGUUAACCCAAAUUCAGCAUUAUGGUUUUCAGUAACUACUUUAUUGCAUGUGCUUGUUGAAAAGCUUUUCUCAGAUUUUUUUUUCUAGAUCAAAAGUCCUGAACAGGACUGGGCAGCUUACCAGUGGAUCUACUAGUUCUUUCGCUGGAACUCACUGACUUUCCCUCAAGUAGUUUUUGUUACAAUUUCAUAUGUAGAUGAAAUUCCUUUUUAUUUUGUGUGAUGUUAGAAAACACUCACAAUGUAUUUAAGAGUAGUGACUUGAUUGGGCCCACAUUGCGCCACUUCCCAUGGACCCUCUCACUGAACUUAGUGAUUUACAAAGUUGGAUAAAUUAACACUUAUAGAUGUGCUUUCCUAUGUAAGGAAGACUGAGCCCUAGGCUGGGAGGUGAGAGAAAACAGAGAUAAAUUAGACUCAGUUUCAAAAAGUUCUCUUUACUUAGAAUAGCAUGUGUUAUACACACACAAACACACACACACAAUAAAGAACAAGACAACACAGUGUAGGUCCUGUGCCAAAUGAGUGGCUUAGAUCUAUGUGAUAAAGAGGAGACAGAAGACCCCGUUCAAGUCACACACACACACACACACACACAGAAUUUGAUAAUUUUGUUUCCUUGGUAUGUAAAUCACUUAAUCUGUUUAGGCAUUAUGUUUCUCAAUUCUAAUAUGAAAAUGUUGAAUUAGAUUAGGAAGUUCCUUCCUAUUCUGAAAUUCAGUGAGAUUUAGAACAGUGAGAUUAUACUUCGGAAAGGCAGUGCUCACAGAUGGCUACAUGAAGGGAUAGGAAACCUGAACUACAUGCUGAAAGUGUAAGAGGGUGUUACUAGGGGCUGGCGCUGUGGCACAGUGGGUUAAUGCCCUGGCCUAAAGCACUGGCAUCCCAUAUGGGUGCCGGUUCUAGUCCUGGCUGCUCCUCUUCUGAUCCAGCUCUCUGCUAUGGCCUGGGAAAACAGUAGAAGAUGGCCCAAGUCCUUGGGCCCCUGCACCCGCAUUGGAGACCCAGCUCCUGGCUCCUGGCUUCGGAUUGGCCCAGCUCCAGCCAUUGCGUCCAACUGGGGAGUGAACCAAAGGAUGGAAGACCUCUCUCUCUCUCUCUGCCUCUCCUCUCUCUGUAUAACUCUGACUUUCAAAUAAAUAAAUAAAUAAAUAUUUUUUUAAAAAGAGGGUGUUAUUAAAAAAGGGUUAAAAAUCAUGGGCAAAGAUAGAGUCACGGUGUCUGUUUGGUUCACUUCUGUGUCCUCAAGGCUGGCCACAGUACCCAACACACACCAAUCAGUGCAUAAUAGCUCCUUAGUUUCUGAAUAAAUGAAAGCACUGGGAGAUGCUUCACUACUCUCAGAUGGCAGGACAUCUGGAAAACCACAUUCUGUAGAAAUUUAAAUACUCUGAAUACUAGAAAUCGAAUGAACAAAUUUGUAAAAAGAUUUCUUUCUUCAGUGCCUUCUAAUGAGUAAAAGUGAGCAUCUUACAUCUGUAUCCCAAAUUGUUCCAAUUGUCAUGUCAAAAGCUAAUUUUGAAAUGACCAGGGUUAUACUAUUAAUCAAAUGGCAAAAUUCUGGACCAAAUUAUUAAAUUCCUUUGUUGAUGUCAGUUGCUAACAGAGGUUACUUCUCUCAACUUGUUUUAAACUUAACUGCAACAUGUACUUGAGUCCCCCCCCCACCAAUGUUAUUCUGCAAUAUUCUUUACUUGAAUUUUGCAUUUCCACUGCAAUGGUUCAACUACUCAGUCUUAAGACCAAAUUCUUACUUAAAUUAUUAUGAACAUGUUCUGAAAUGUACCUAAUGCCCAGGAAACACUCAAAACCCCAGCCCCUUAUCCUUAUAUUCUUGUUUAUGCUUUAUUUGCUCUUCUGACCAUGUCUUCAGUGUGCUCUUUACCAAUUGUUCCCAGGAUGUGUUUUGAAUACUGGAAGAAGAGAUAGAUUGUUUUGAUUUCUCCUGAGCUUGUUGAAGUUCUGUUGCCAAAAAUAAUAGCAUGCUGAAUGGAAUCUUCGCAUGCAUAAUACACUUCUUGGUAAUAGAUAAAUUGUUUCUCUAUCAUUUUCUCUUUGAAUUUUAUGUUGGAUCAGUUUUUAACUUGGAGACCAUUCUCUUUUGAGUAAUUCUUUUUCAAUGUGUCACACCUUGAGAUUUAUUGCACUAAUACAUCAUCAGAGUGGCAGCUGGCCCUGAUGAUGUAUAGCUUAAUACAUCAUCAAAGCAAUUUCUCAUUCAGGUUACAUAUUACAUAGGAGUGUUAGUGCUUGUAUUUUUAAAAAUAUAAUUUUUAUAUUGCAAUAAAUAAAGUAAGCUUUAAGAAAAUUUCCACAACUAUUAGAUUUGUCCCAAAUCUAGAUGGCAAAUAAAAUUAGCAUUGGGUUCCAAUAAUAACAGCACCAAUUUUUCUCUGCAUAGCUACAAUAUCUUACUUAUAAGCCUUGUUGUUUAAAUAGGAAAUACAUAUCUGGUUAAAAAAAUUAAAAAGUGUAAUAAUACAUACAGCAAAGACUACAUCUUUCUGUCCAAAUAUGACAGCUACCCAAGAACCCUCUGCAGAGGAAAAAAAUAUACCAAGACUUCGAUAGAUAUGUAAGAAUGUAUGUCUAUCUAUGCAUGUAUCAUUGUGUUUUUCCUUUAAGUACAACCUCAGAGGGGCAAACAUACCAUUCUGCAUCUUCCCCCACCCCAGUUAAAAGUAUAAAUAUGAUCUUGCUUCAUGUGGAAACAUAGGAUUGUCUGGUUCUUUUUAGUGAUAACAUAUUUUCAUAUUUCAUAUUUAUUAAAUGUCUGUUUUUUCUAGUAUCUUGCUGCUGUGUGAAGUGCUACAAUAAACAUUCUGUCCAACACCUUGUAUUUUACAAAAUUUGUGUUAUACAGAGUUUCUAGUUUUCUGGAGUGCACAUUAGCAAGAGUGCAGGAAUUGAAAGCUGAGAUUGGACUUGAACUCUGGCAGUCUGAUAUGGGAUAUGCCUGCUGAACCUAAGAGCUCAGAACUCCAUCCAAGUCUCCUCCGUGGUCAACAGAGGUCCAUGACUUAAGCCAUUAUUUGUUGCUUCCCAGGAUUCAUUAGCAGGAAGGUGGAUCAGAAGUGGAACAUCCAGGAUUCCAAUGGGCCUGGUGCCCCAAGCAGUGGCUUAACGGGCUGCAGUAUCCACCCUUAUACAUAAAAUUUAGACAUAAAGGCAUAACCUUAAAAACUCUUUCAUAAGUGAAAUACACUGUCAGUAUAUCUUUGUGUGUGUGUAUGAUGUGUGUGUGUGUGUGUCUGUAUGUCUGGUCAGAGAGGCUCAAAUAUUGCAGUAUAAAGAAUGGAAGUCUUUGCCACCAAUAAUACUUGAAGGAGAGCAGGAAGUUCAAUUUGUGAAUAUGUUGGUAAACUUGUAUCUAGAACAUAAAACUCAACAAAUUUGUCUGUAUAAUGAACUGACCCUCAUACUGAACUCUUGUGCUUACUUCUACCAAUUUAUUUCUGAUUUAUGAGUAUUUUAAAGUCAUAUCCUGGCCUUUUUUAUACUUUCUAACAUGAAAAGUAUUGUUAUGAGUAAAUGAGCAGCAUUUUUGUCAGUUCUGUUCAAACCACAGAUGCUAGGUUUGAUGAGAAAAAGGGGUGGGUGGAGAGAGUCAGGGAGAAAAAUGUUUAGGGGUAAAAAAAUUGCAUGGACAAAUGCUGAGCACAGUACAUAUUACUCCUUUACUGGUAGUUUGUUAAUUGAUCCAUGAGAAGUUUACUGUUUCAUGUCUGCUAUGAGCAUGAUUGGUGAAACCACGUGACUGAGCAGGUGCACUUCUUUCAAUAACCUGUUGCUCUGACUUUUAGUCUGAGCUAUGAAGCGAUUUCUCCUUAUUCUUAAAUGCGAAUGUGCAAUCACUCCUAGACAGAAAAGAAAAUUUAGAGGGUGGUCAGAGAGGCUCAAACCUUGCAGCAAAAUGAAUGGAAGUCAUUGCUACCAGGAAUGCUUGAGAAACAGCAGGAUUUACCAGUAUUCUAAUAAACUGAUAACUAGAACAGAAAACUUCAGCAAAUUUGUUGAUAUAACUAAGUAACCUUUGCACUGAACUAUUGUGCUGAUUCUACCAAUUCAUUUCUAAUUUAUAGGCAUUUUAAAAUUAUAUCCCGGGCCUCUUUUUUUAUACUGUCUAACAUGAAAAAUAUUGUUAAGAUGAAAUGAGUAACAUUUUUCUCAGUUCUGUUCAAACCACAGAUGCUAGGUUUGAUUUUAUUUCUAACAGUGAGAUUGAAAUUCUAUUUUAAUAUGCAGAACGGCAGCCCUGGGAGUCAUAAAAUACGGAGUGUUUUCAUUAGAUGAUGGCCCUGCACCUCUAGUUAACAGGAAAGCUGAUUCAUCAAACAGCAGCCAUCAAGACAGCAUUAACUAAGACCUGGAAUGAAAACACGAGAUUGGGGUGAAAAUUACCUGUUUUGCAUCAUGUAAUUGUAACUUUGGAGAAAUUCCUAGUUUGUGGCAUAAAACUGUUUCUAGGGAUGCAGGAGUACUAGCUGUAAAUUUGCUGCAGAUGGUCUAGAGAUUGAACAUUUUCUACAUUUCAAAGGUAUCUUAAAUUUUAUAUCAGCUGCCACUAAUUUAACGGAAUGAACAUUCACCUCUAUGCUCUUUUCUCCCCACCAGGAAAAGAAAUAAUCAGAACUAAUUCUGCAUUUAAAUUGGCCUCUCAAAUAUUUACAUACACAAUAUAAAACAUUGGAAUUCAGAGCCAUUUUACUCUACUGAAUUGACAGUUUAGAUAUUCUAUCUGCCAGCCAAAAUGUCCCCAAUGACUUCAAGCAAUGAAUUUAGAUAGUUUUUUUCUGAUCAUUUAAUUGAUCACAGAUAAAGGGGUAGCUUUCUCUCUUCUAAUGAAGUAUAACACACUCUAUUCAAAGCAAAAUGUGUAACAAAAAUAAAAAUAAGAAAAAAAUUACAAUAUAAAUGUAGUCAUCACAGUUUAUAAUAAAAUACUAAAUAUGGAAGAAACUUCAAAGAUCAUUCAUUUCAGUAUUUUCAAGCUAUUCCAUGGAGUUGUUGUGGGGGCUGCUUUUGAAGGGGUGAGGAAUAGACGAGGAGAUGGACAUACAUGAGGCAACUUCUGACCUCCAGCUCUCCCCUUCAGUUUCAGUCAAGUCACUUUCAUUUUACCCAUUUAAUCUGUUUGGAAAAUUUUUGUAACUGUUAAAGAAUAUUUGAAAACUACAUCCAUCCUGGUCAAAUUACCAAUGAACUAAAACCUUGUGACCAAGUAGUAAAGCGAAGACUAGAACCCAGUUAUGAGAUUCCUAAAACAGUGUUUUGUUUUUUGUUUUAAAACAUAUUAAGACAUUGGAUCAUUACAGUGGGCUUACUGUGUUCCAAUGAGAUGCAGAGCUUUUGCACACUAAUGAGCUGAUGUUAACUUUAAAAGUCAAGCCUGAAGAGCUAUCUAUAUACAGGGUAUCCAUGAAACGUUUUCUGAGCAUAUUGCACUUUUUAAAAUACUCUAAACUUAUAUGGGAAAAACAAUAUUAACUAAAAUGGGAAUCAAAUUUCACACUGUGGAUAGAAUUCAAAAUAACUUCUUAAAUGUAUGAUUAGACAAUGAAAAUUAUCCAAUGUUAUGAACUAAGUAAAAAAAUCUGAGAGAAGCAAAUAUUAAUGCUCAAU
This is a non-coding RNA of Oryctolagus cuniculus (rabbit), 11500 nucleotides long. NCBI's taxonomy places the organism in Eukaryota, Metazoa, Chordata, Mammalia, Lagomorpha, Leporidae. The record is from RefSeq and is a predicted model, not a curated record.